AGAGUUGAUCAUGGCUCAGGAUGAACGCUGGCGGCGCGCCUAACACAUGCAAGUCGAACGGUUAAAGCCCCUUCGGGGGUGCAUAAAGUGGCGAACGGCUGAGUAACACGUGGGCAACCUGCCCCCCGCUUCGGGAUAGCCUCGGGAAACCGUGGGUAAUACCGGAUACUCCGCCCACCCCGCAUGGGGAGGGCGGGAAAGCGCAUACGGCGGGGGAUGGGCCCGCGGCCUGUUAGCUCGUUGGCGGGGUAACGGCCCACCAAGGCUAUUAUGGGUAGCCGGGUUGAGAGACCGACCGGCCAGAUUGGGACUGAGACACGGCCCAGACUCCUACGGGAGGCAGCAGUGGGGAAUCUUGCACAAUGGGCGAAAGCCUGAUGCAGCCGACGCCGCGUGCGGGAUGAAGGCCCUCGGGUUGUAAACCGCUUUCAGCAGGGACGAGGCGCAAGUGACGGUACCUGCAGAAGAAGCCCCGGCUAACUACGUGCCAGCAGCGGC
RNAcentral lists this ribosomal RNA (498 nucleotides) under uncultured bacterium. Its description in RNAcentral is "bacterial SSU rRNA". It matches the Rfam family "Bacterial small subunit ribosomal RNA", at positions 8 to 518 of the family's 1533-position model. The record is from RNAcentral.